CCUACGGGAGGCUGCAGUGAGGAAUAUUGGUCAAUGGGCGGGAGCCUGAACCAGUCAUGCCGCGUGAAGGCGAGUGCCCUACGGGCGUUAAACUUCUUUUGUGCGGGAGCAAUAAGGGCCACGUGUGGCCCGAUGAGAGUACCGCACGAAUAAGCAUCGGCUAACUCCGUGCCCGCAGCCGCGGUAAUACGGGGGAUGCGAGCGUUAUCAGGAUUUAUUGGUGUUAAGGGGUGCGUAGGCGGCGCUUCAGGUCAGCGGGGAAAUACCGGGGCUCAACCCCGGGGCUGCCGUUGAAACCGGAGCGCUAGAAGUCCGAUGCCGUCGGAGGAAUGUGUGGUGUAGCGGGGAAAUGCAUAGAGAUCACACAGAACACCGAUUGCGAAGGCAUCUGACGAAUCGGAGAUUGACGCUGAUGCACGAAAGCGUGGGUAUCGAACAGGAUUAGAUACCCGGGUAGUC
RNAcentral lists this ribosomal RNA (459 nucleotides) under uncultured bacterium. Its description in RNAcentral is "partial 16S ribosomal RNA". It matches the Rfam family "Bacterial small subunit ribosomal RNA", at positions 338 to 795 of the family's 1533-position model. The record is from RNAcentral.